AAGAUUUUAAGAUAAUUAAUCUAUUAACCUUCAAAGUUAAAUAUAUACUAUAUAAAAUUUAUAUAAAUCUUA
RNAcentral lists this transfer RNA (72 nucleotides) under Parapolybia tinctipennis. RNAcentral's name for it is "tRNA-Trp". Lineage: Eukaryota; Metazoa; Arthropoda; Insecta; Hymenoptera; Vespidae. The record is from RNAcentral.